UUUUUUUUUUUUUUUUUUUUUUUUUUUUUUUGGUUUUGAUUUGGCUUAUUAAGGAGUUCGGGCUCUACCUGGUUCUGGCUCUUGCUCCCUGCACUGUUCUGAGAUGGAGCUUAGGACUAAACCCUUUCCGUUGCUACAACUGCACCCCAAGACAGUGCCGGCAGGUGCCUCCAGUAGUCAAAAGGCAAGGCGGUGCUCUGUCUCCCUCCCCUCUUCUUCAUUUCCUUUUCUCCCUUCUUCAUCAGCUGUCUUACAAAAUUAGAAUUUCAUGCUCAUGUCCCGCCCACUCUCAAACCCAAAGCUGUACCUCAAAUUACAAAUUCCUUCUUCCUAUCAACUCAGAGAAAAGUAUGAGAUGACCUAUUUCCUGAGGGACCCUGGAGGAACUAGGUUCAGAAACCAGGUGAUGAAGAGAUUCUCUGAGGAGAAUCUGUAAAACAAGAAACAGCCUUCUGUGACCGACCAGAAAGAGUUCCAUAAACUAGGCUGUAUCAACAACAAGCAUUUGAAAUAAACUAUUUUCCUGUCUUAAAUACUAGUAUUCAAACAUAAUAGCCUUUCAUUGCAAAUGAAUCAAUAUUUAGAACAUUCUUUUUCUAUGGGAAGAAUUAUUUCCAAUUUCAAACAGCCAAGCGACAAACUUGGCAAGGCUGCCUAAACUUCGAAUAUGUUUGAUUGAAAAAGAGUUACUUAAAUUCUUCAGAUAACUCUAAAAUCUUCCCUUUAUUUUGUGAAAUUUUAAUCCACCCAUCAUGAUAUAGGAUAAAUGUAGCUCAAGGAAUAGAGAAGAACAAAAAAUCUUCACUAAAACAUCACAGGAGAAAUUUACACACAACUUCAUAAACUGAAAUGUCUCAGGUUUUAAAUACACACACAACUACUUCCCUCCACCCCUUUUUCUCCCCCGCUUCCCCUGCCACCACCUCUCAUUCUGUUUCUAUCUUAUUUUAAGGGAAGCUAAUAGUAUCCUCUCCUUUCUUAUAAAUUGUUUCCAACAUGUGAAACUGUAGACUUCUUUAAGGGUACUAAUAGAAACCCAAAAUGUUCACUGGAUCAAUCAAAAAAAAAAAAAAAAAAAAAAAAAAAAAAAGGAAGCUGAAAAUUGUUAGAACUUUACAAGUUACAAAUUCCUUAUAGGAGUAGUUAUAUCUUUAUAUUCUAAAUCACAAUUUCAUUUCUGACUUUCCUGGGGGGGACAAAAAAGCUUUAGAAGUCCCAUGUAAUAUUUUACUCUGGUGUUUCCAAAAGCUUGGCCUUCAUACCCCCUUGUUUGAAUCACGUAGAAUAUUUUCUAAAAAUGCAAAUUCCCGAUCCCUCUCCAGAACUAUUAAUGAAUCAGAUAAUCAAGGUCAGAUUGCUCAGCAUUUUGACAAUUUUCCACAAGUGUUUCUUACGACUAGCAAAAUUAACACAAAAUGCAUUUUUUCACUUAUUUAUAUUUAAGACAUUUCCCCAACAGCACCACGCUAACAUUUUAUAAACUUACUAUGUUAAAACAUAUUAGACCUCUUUUGAAUAAAUAUUUUUAUCUUCUAGCAAUAAAAGAUGACUUCUUCCUUUAAUAAUAUGUUUAGUCUGGUUUGUCAUAAUGUACUCAGGCACUUUACCAGGCAGAAUUCAACUGCCACAUCAAAAAACACACUAAAUUAACUUUAACUUUUACCACCAUAUAUUGAAAUUUAAACUAACUAGUUAAAAUAAGUGUUACUGUUAGACAAUGUCAUUAAAAAACAGAAAAAACAUUAGAGCUCUUUGUGAAAACAAAAGCUAUGAAUACACACGUUAAUAGUUUUUAAAAUAAGUUUGUACCACUAUGUCAUCAAAAAAUAUUUUUACCUAAUUGUAUUUCCUCCUCCUCUAUUAACAUUUUCAAAAAAUAAAAUAAAAAGAGAACUUCACUCUCUGAAAAGACCAUAAUUGUUCAUUAGCUUUGUGGAUCUCAGCAGCCCCACACCUGCCUGCAUUAGGUCUUUUUGCACUUUUCAUUUUUUAGGUCACAGAAAUACAGUAAGUAAUGUAAUGAAACCACAGACUUGUCUGUAUUUUCUCAUACAGCCAGGCCCUGACUCAUAAAUAUUUCAUCUAUUGUUGUCUUAACUCUAAAAGAAAUUUGCCUGUAUUUUUCACGCUUUAUUUUGAAACAGCUCUCUUCUGAAAGCAACUCUGACCAUGACUUUGGUAAACGAACACAUACUGCCCGUAAAAAGAACUUUCACAAUACAAUGGCAACCACCUCAACCAAAGAACCAAAAACUUUUUAAGACUCAGAACUAUAAAAUUCAUAUAAUUCUGAACCACGUUAUUUCACAAGGAAAUUCAAUAUUAUAUGAUAGAAGUAUCUUUUCUGAGCCUUAAGAUGUUAACACUUUUCACAUAAGCGCCUUUAGGUCAAAGAAUGCAAGGAAAAUACAAGCUGAGUUCAGAGAAGGAGUUUCAGGGGAAUGGGUAUUAUGGGUUAGUUAGGAAUCAAAAAUCACAAAUUGCUUAUUCAAGAUUUUGAAUAGUGGACGUUCAAAUAGUGUAAAACCUCAGAUACUGCACAGUUCUUGACAACUUUGCCAUUGAUAAAAUGGGGAUAUAGCAGUAUGUCCUAUAAAAGUAGUACGAAAAAUAAAUUAACACAGACAAAUUACUUAGAAAAGUAUCUACUUUAACUGCUCAAUGAAUGUUAGCAACAUUAUAACACAUUGUUAGCUAUAUAUAGUGAUGAUUCAUUUCAAAUGUAUAUAGAUAGAUAAAUAAUACCAUCCAAAGAAUUAAUGACAAGUCAGAGUCCACACUUAUUAAGUUUAGCAAAGGUUCUAAUCUUAACCCUGCUCUCAGUAUUUUCAUAAUUAGAGAUAUAAAAGAGUAUUAAUCAAAAUUAUGGAUGACACAAUUGCUAAUAGAGAAUUAGGAUUUUUUUUAAAUCUUGACAUGCUGAAUAAACUAUAAAAAAAGUUUAACAGAUACACAAAUUCUAUUCUUAGAACAAAGUAUUCAAUUGUAUAUUAAUUGCUACUUACAUGAAAUGAAUUAUAAUUAUAGCAAUAAAGUAACAUGACUAAAAAUAAUUUGCAUUAGGUUAGAGGAAAUUGAGAUGAAUUUUCAUUGUCUUCUAUGUCAGUCAAACUACACUCAUUCUAUGAUAUUUGGCUCUAGAUACACUUUAUAUACAUAUAUAUGUAAAUUUUUUACACCACACCCACAGUAUAUGGAAGUUCCUGGGCCAGGGACUGAAUCUGAGCCACAGCUGUGACCUAUGCUGCAGUGGCUGCAACACCAGAUCCCAUAACGUACUGUGCCAGGCUGUGGAUUGAACCCACAACUCUGCAGAGACAAAGCCACCACUGGAGUCAGAUUCUUAACCCACUGUGCCAUAGUGGCAACUCCUGGAUACAUUUUAAAAGGGAAACUUCAAGGAAGAGAAACAUACUCAGAGAAGAGUGAUCAGAACUGUGAAGGGUAAAAUAAGUUUAUAUAAUACAUAUAAAGUAUAACUGGAGAAACCUGACUUUUUUUAAUCUCAAAAAAGGAAAAGUUUAUUGAGGAUAAAAAUCUUUCAGACAUUUGCGAAAUUAUCUAUAUGAAAUAGUUUGUGCAAAACCAAAGGACAGAGUUAGAAAUAAUGGCUAAUUAACUGAUUCCAAUUCAGUGUAAGGAGAAACUUUCUAUCAAUUACAUUUUUUCAAAUAUUGGUUGUUAAGAUAAGUUCUUCAUUCAUAUAAGUAUUUGAAAGCCACUAGCCAGGACUAAGGAAAUCAGGAUUGCCUCUUUCAUGUACAGAUGUCUUUAAAAAGCUGCUCAUGGAGUUCUCGUCAUGGCUGAGUGGUUAAUGAAUCUGACUAGGAACCAUGAGGUUACGGGUUUGAUCCCUGGCCUCGCUCAGUGGAUUAAGAAUCUGGCGUUACUGUGAGCUGUGGUGUGGAUCACAGACAUGGCUCGGAUCCCGCAUUGCUAGGGGUCUAAUCGGAGCAGCUACACGUCCGAUUAGACCCCUAGCCUGGGAACCUCCAUAUGCUGUGGGAGUGGCCCUGAAAAAGGCAAAAAGACAAAAAAAAAAAAAAAAAAAA
RNAcentral lists this long non-coding RNA (4052 nucleotides) under Sus scrofa (pig). Its description in RNAcentral is "lncRNA (ENSSSCG00005006376.1)". Lineage: Eukaryota; Metazoa; Chordata; Mammalia; Artiodactyla; Suidae. The record is from RNAcentral.